CAGUAGCCGCGGUAAUACGAAGGGGGCUAGCGUUGCUCGGAAUUACUGGGCGUAAAGGGAGCGUAGGCGGAUCGUUUAGUCAGGGGUGAAAUCCCGGGGCUCAACCUCGGAACUGCCUUUGAUACUGGCGAUCUUGAGUAUGGGGGAGGUGUGUGGAACUCCGAGUGUAGAGGUGAAAUUCGUAGAUAUUCGGAAGAACACCAGUGGCGAAGGCGACACACUGGCCCAUUACUGACGCUGAGGCUCGAAAGCGUGGGGAGCAAACAGGAUUAGAUACCCCAGUAGUCCCUGUCUCUUAUAA
This 301-nucleotide ribosomal RNA is filed under the name uncultured bacterium. RNAcentral describes it as "partial 16S ribosomal RNA". It matches the Rfam family "Bacterial small subunit ribosomal RNA", at positions 509 to 809 of the family's 1533-position model. The record is from RNAcentral.